UACAGAGGUCCCAAGCGUUGUUCGGAUUCAUGGUGCGUAAAGGGUGCGUAGGUGGUGAGGUAAGUCGGAUGUGAAAUCUCCGAGCUCAACUCGGAAAUGGCAUUGGAAACUACCUUGCUUGAGGGUUGGAGGGGGGACUGGAAUACUUGGUGUAGCAGUGAAAUGCGUAGAUAUCAAGUGGAACACCAGUGGCGAAGGCGAGUCCCUGGACAACUCCUGACACUGAGGCACGAAAGCUAGGGGAGCAAACAGG
RNAcentral lists this ribosomal RNA (253 nucleotides) under uncultured bacterium. RNAcentral describes it as "partial 16S ribosomal RNA". It matches the Rfam family "Bacterial small subunit ribosomal RNA", at positions 524 to 776 of the family's 1533-position model. The record is from RNAcentral.